This is a long non-coding RNA of Denticeps clupeoides (denticle herring), 961 nucleotides long. The record is from Ensembl. Lineage: Eukaryota; Metazoa; Chordata; Actinopteri; Clupeiformes; Denticipitidae.
CGGACAAGGACAAUUUGCCUCAGCAUGAAGGACCUCCUCAUCUUCACUCUCUACAUAAGUUCAGGUAACCCACCCCCCACUAAAACGUUCUUAUACCAUAAACGUGAAAUAUGGCGAUUUUGAUUGAUUUGGGUUUUCCAGGUGGGGUAGCAGCCUUUAGUGUGAAGGGUUACUCUGGCGCAGCCGUUGUGAUGAACUGGGAUUAUAAAUCUCAGUAUAAGGACGCAGCCAAGUGCUUCUGCAAGUCAGAAGACACCGGUGGCUGCCGAGUCGUGGGAAACACCACGGCUGAGAACCUGUCCAUGACCUACGGGAGGUUCUCUCUGCUGGACAAUGCCACCAUCGGCGUCUUCUCUGUGCUCAUCACGCCGCUGGCCGCUCAGGAUUCUGGGACGUACUUGUGUUUGUACAAUCCGGAGUACAUGGAAGUGCAUCUUAUCGUCAAGACAGAUGCAUAUUUUGGAAGAUCAGUCUCCAUUCCUGGCUAUCUCCACGGGAACGUUGAGAUAAGCUGUGAGUAUCCCGCUGAGCACAAGCACAGCGUGAAGGUCCUCAGCAGUCCUGCUGGUAUCUUCGUCUCCUCGCUGACACCAGAGGACAGAGAGUGGGGGAAGUUCUCCCUGACGGACAACAGACAGGAUCGAGUCUUCACCGUCACUAUCGGGCAGCUGGACAUGGCCGACUCCGGAAUCUACUGGUGUGGCGUGGAGACCCAGGAGCCAUCGGCUUGGUACAUUACUGUUGUCAAGCAAGUGCACCUUCAGGUCACGUACCCAGACGGAAGUGCAGAGCAGGAAACGGCAGGCGUGGCUGUUUACGUCGCUGCUGGCGUCUGCGCAGCUGUUCUCAUCUGGGCCCCGGUCGUCGUCCUGUACUUCAAACUGACCAAUCGGGGCGGAGCAGCUGCGGGUAAAAAUCUGUUUCUACCAAAUGCAGAAGUACAAAUGAAUCAUUCUGCAAA